UGAAGAGACUGUGACACACUUGGUUGUCC
This 29-nucleotide non-coding RNA is filed under the name Rattus norvegicus (Norway rat). Lineage: Eukaryota; Metazoa; Chordata; Mammalia; Rodentia; Muridae. The record is from RNAcentral.